RNAcentral lists this long non-coding RNA (237 nucleotides) under Anser cygnoides (Swan goose). RNAcentral's name for it is "lncRNA (ENSACDG00005001882.1)". The record is from RNAcentral. Lineage: Eukaryota; Metazoa; Chordata; Aves; Anseriformes; Anatidae.
AAACUUGAAGUCUUAGAGAAGCUGAUAUGCAAACAGUGUGUAGCAGCACGUCUGCAAUCACAGAUAUUCUAGAAAAGGAAAGAAGAAGAAACAAUACAUAGCUCUGAAUAUUUAUCUCAAGGAAAAAGGCUCGAAGUCUUGCACCCUGCCAUUCCUCCUAUUUCGGGGGCUGACCAUGCUGCCACACAGCUAUGGAAGAGAAAUGUGAGAAUAAGGAUCAGAGAAACAAGAGACAGC